This 1373-nucleotide ribosomal RNA is filed under the name uncultured bacterium. RNAcentral describes it as "bacterial SSU rRNA". It matches the Rfam family "Bacterial small subunit ribosomal RNA", at positions 28 to 1381 of the family's 1533-position model. The record is from RNAcentral.
GAUGAACGCUGGCGGCGUGCCUAAUACAUGCAAGUCGAGCGAACGGACGAGAAGCUUGCUUCUCUGAUGUUAGCGGCGGACGGGUGAGUAACACGUGGAUAACCUACCUAUAAGACUGGGAUAACUUCGGGAAACCGGAGCUAAUACCGGAUAAUAUUUUGAACCGCAUGGUUCAAAAGUGAAAGACGGUCUUGCUGUCACUUAUAGAUGGAUCCGCGCUGCAUUAGCUAGUUGGUAAGGUAACGGCUUACCAAGGCAACGAUGCAUAGCCGACCUGAGAGGGUGAUCGGCCACACUGGAACUGAGACACGGUCCAGACUCCUACGGGAGGCAGCAGUAGGGAAUCUUCCGCAAUGGGCGAAAGCCUGACGGAGCAACGCCGCGUGAGUGAUGAAGGUCUUCGGAUCGUAAAACUCUGUUAUUAGGGAAGAACAUAUGUGUAAGUAACUGUGCACAUCUUGACGGUACCUAAUCAGAAAGCCACGGCUAACUACGUGCCAGCAGCCGCGGUAAUACGUAGGUGGCAAGCGUUAUCCGGAAUUAUUGGGCGUAAAGCGCGCGUAGGCGGUUUUUUAAGUCUGAUGUGAAAGCCCACGGCUCAACCGUGGAGGGUCAUUGGAAACUGGAAAACUUGAGUGCAGAAGAGGAAAGUGGAAUUCCAUGUGUAGCGGUGAAAUGCGCAGAGAUAUGGAGGAACACCAGUGGCGAAGGCGACUUUCUGGUCUGUAACUGACGCUGAUGUGCGAAAGCGUGGGGAUCAAACAGGAUUAGAUACCCUGGUAGUCCACGCCGUAAACGAUGAGUGCUAAGUGUUAGGGGGUUUCCGCCCCUUAGUGCUGCAGCUAACGCAUUAAGCACUCCGCCUGGGGAGUACGACCGCAAGGUUGAAACUCAAAGGAAUUGACGGGGACCCGCACAAGCGGUGGAGCACGUGGUUUAAUUCGAAGCAACGCGAAGAACCUUACCAAAUCUUGACAUCCUUUGACAACUCUAGAGAUAGAGCUUUCCCCUUCGGGGGACAAAGUGACAGGUGGUGCAUGGUUGUCGUCAGCUCGUGUCGUGAGAUGUUGGGUUAAGUCCCGCAACGAGCGCAACCCUUAAGCUUAGUUGCCAUCAUUAAGUUGGGCACUCUAAGUUGACUGCCGGUGACAAACCGGAGGAAGGUGGGGAUGACGUCAAAUCAUCAUGCCCCUUAUGAUUUGGGCUACACACGUGCUACAAUGGACAAUACAAAGGGCAGCGAAACCGCGAGGUCAAGCAAAUCCCAUAAAGUUGUUCUCAGUUCGGAUUGUAGUCUGCAACUCGACUACAUGAAGCUGGAAUCGCUAGUAAUCGUAGAUCAGCAUGCUACGGUGAAUACGUUCUCCGGGUCU